GCUUUGGUGGCCAAGUGGUAAGGCGUCGCACUCGGUAAGUCCCACAUUGGAAUACAUACAACAACCAAUCAACUAACAAACAAUCAGUAAUGCGAAGAUCGGGGGUUCGAUUCCCCUCCGAAGCA
Molecule: transfer RNA, 125 nt
Filed under: Cordyceps javanica
Lineage: Eukaryota; Fungi; Ascomycota; Sordariomycetes; Hypocreales; Cordycipitaceae
Description: Isaria javanica tRNA
Rfam family: tRNA
About the family: Transfer RNA (tRNA) molecules are approximately 80 nucleotides in length. Their secondary structure includes four short double-helical elements and three loops (D, anti-codon, and T loops).
Source: Rfam by way of RNAcentral